This 466-nucleotide ribosomal RNA is filed under the name Vreelandella stevensii. RNAcentral's name for it is "partial 16S ribosomal RNA". It matches the Rfam family "Bacterial small subunit ribosomal RNA", at positions 338 to 795 of the family's 1533-position model. Lineage: Bacteria; Pseudomonadati; Pseudomonadota; Gammaproteobacteria; Oceanospirillales; Halomonadaceae. The record is from RNAcentral.
CCUAACGGGAGGCAGCAGUGGGGAAUAUUGGACAAUGGGCGAAAGCCUGAUCCAGCCAUGCCGCGUGUGUGAAGAAGGCCUUCGGGUUGUAAAGCACUUUCAGUGGGGAAGAAAGCCUUGGGGCUAAUACCCUCGAGGAAGGACAUCACCCACAGAAGAAGCACCGGCUAACUCCGUGCCAGCAGCCGCGGUAAUACGGAGGGUGCGAGCGUUAAUCGGAAUUACUGGGCGUAAAGCGCGCGUAGGCGGUCUGAUAAGCCGGUUGUGAAAGCCCCGGGCUCAACCUGGGAACGGCAUCCGGAACUGUCAGGCUAGAGUGCAGGAGAGGAAGGUAGAAUUCCCGGUGUAGCGGUGAAAUGCGUAGAGAUCGGGAGGAAUACCAGUGGCGAAGGCGGCCUUCUGGACUGACACUGACGCUGAGGUGCGAAAGCGUGGGUAGCAAACAGGAUUAGAUACCCCAGUAGUC